UACGGAGGGGGCAAGCGUUAUCCGGAUUCACUGGGUUUAAAGGGUGCGUAGGUGGGCAGGUAAGUCAGUGGUGAAAUCUCUGGGCUUAACUCAGAAACUGCCAUUGAUACUAUCUGUCUUGAAUACCGUGGAGGUUAGCGGAAUAUGUCAUGUAGCGGUGAAAUGCUUAGAUAUGACAUAGAACACCAAUUGCGAAGGCAGCUGGCUACACGAAUAUUGACACUGAUGCACGAAAGCGUGGGGAUCAAACAGG
Molecule: ribosomal RNA, 253 nt
Filed under: uncultured bacterium
Lineage: Bacteria
Description: partial 16S ribosomal RNA
Rfam family: Bacterial small subunit ribosomal RNA
Source: RNAcentral